CCUACGGGUGGCAGCAGUGGGGAAUAUUGGACAAUGGGCGAAAGCCUGAUCCAGCCAUGCCGCGUGUGUGAAGAAGGCCUUCGGGUUGUAAAGCACUUUCAGUGGGGAAGAAAGCCUUGGGGCUAAUACCCUCGAGGAAGGACAUCACCCACAGAAGAAGCACCGGCUAACUCCGUGCCAGCAGCCGCGGUAAUACGGAGGGUGCGAGCGUUAAUCGGAAUUACUGGGCGUAAAGCGCGCGUAGGCGGUCUGAUAAGCCGGUUGUGAAAGCCCCGGGCUCAACCUGGGAACGGCAUCCGGAACUGUCAGGCUAGAGUGCAUGAGAGGAAGGUAGAAUUCCCGGUGUAGCGGUGAAAUGCGUAGAGAUCGGGAGGAAUACCAGUGGCGAAGGCGGCCUUCUGGACUGACACUGACGCUGAGGUGCGAAAGCGUGGGUAGCAAACAGGAUUAGAUACCCUAGUAGUC
This 465-nucleotide ribosomal RNA is filed under the name Vreelandella stevensii. RNAcentral describes it as "partial 16S ribosomal RNA". It matches the Rfam family "Bacterial small subunit ribosomal RNA", at positions 338 to 795 of the family's 1533-position model. Lineage: Bacteria; Pseudomonadati; Pseudomonadota; Gammaproteobacteria; Oceanospirillales; Halomonadaceae. The record is from RNAcentral.